CGGCGCACGGGUGAGUAACACGUAUCCAACCUGCCUCAUACUCGGGGAUAACCUUGUCGAAAGAAAGAUAAUAUCCGAUAGCAUAUAUUUCCCGCAUGGGUUUUAUAUUAAAGAAAUUCGGUAUGAGAUGGGGAUGCGUUCCAUUAGUUUGUUGGGGGGGUAACGGCCCACCAAGACUACGAUGGAUAGGGGUUCUGAGAGGAAGGUCCCCCACAUUGGAACUGAGACACGGUCCAAACUCCUACGGGAGGCAGCAGUGAGGAAUAUUGGUCAAUGGACGCGAGUCUGAACCAGCCAAGUAGCGUGAAGGAUGACUGCCCUAUGGGUUGUAAACUUCUUUUAUAUGGGAAUAAAGUUGUCCACGUGUGGAUUUUUGUAUGUACCAUAUGAAUAAGGAUCGGCUAACUCCGUGCCAGCAGCCGCGGUAAUACGGAGGAUCCGAGCGUUAUCCGGAUUUAUUGGGUUUAAAGGGAGCGUAGGCGGAUUGUUAAGUCAGUUGUGAAAGUUUGCGGCUCAACCGUAAAAUUGCAGUUGAUACUGGCAGUCUUGAGUGCAGUAGAGGUGGGCGGAAUUCGUGGUGUAGCGGUGAAAUGCUUAGAUAUCACGAAGAACUCCGAUUGCGAAGGCAGCUCACUGGAGUGUAACUGACGCUGAUGCUCGAAAGUGUGGGUAUC
Molecule: ribosomal RNA, 674 nt
Filed under: uncultured Bacteroidales bacterium
Lineage: Bacteria; Pseudomonadati; Bacteroidota; Bacteroidia; Bacteroidales
Description: bacterial SSU rRNA
Rfam family: Bacterial small subunit ribosomal RNA
Source: RNAcentral